GGUGCUGUAGUUCAAUGGUAGAGCAUCUGCUUUACGACCAGAGGGGCCCAGGUUCCAUCCCUGGCAGCAUCU
Non-coding RNA from Hemicordylus capensis (graceful crag lizard), 72 nucleotides. Lineage: Eukaryota; Metazoa; Chordata; Lepidosauria; Squamata; Cordylidae. The record is from the annotation of a RefSeq genome assembly.